AAAAAAAAAUAAAGCUUUUAGUCAUGCCCUUAUAUCCUUACUUCUCUCUGCACAACCAAAGUUGGAAUUCAUAGAAGCCUUUAAGCUCCAAGAGUAGUAUCAAAGUAAGGGAGAGCGUGGGAAACCUAGGGCGUAAAGUUAGAGUGAAGAUUGUGCUUCGAGGGUGAGUUUUCUUUGGUUUUUCUCAAUAGAAAAUGCUUUAAGACCAUGGAUUUUUACACAUAUGUGUGCUAUAUUAUGUGAGGAUAUGUUUUAUGAUUUUGGAUGAUUAUUUUGGUAGAGUUUAUUGGGUGAAAAACCGUGCAUGAGGUAAGGCAGCGAAUCUGCCAUAAGCACACUGCUCCGGCAGUGUAUUGCAAGGCGAUGCCAGCCAUCCAAACGGUUCCCAAAAUUUCCAAAUUAAUUGUGUAUCCACAUUAAUAUGUUUUAUAUACAAUGGUAAAAUUUAAGAAUAUUCAGAGCUCUCAUAAUUUAUUUAUGAAUUUUUAAACAUCACUGCCCAUCUGAAAUACAUUUCUGUAAACAAUCUUUGGGAGGCCAUAAGUCAAGAUUCAAUCGGUGAAAACCUUUGAAACUUGAAUAUGUCACUCUAGACUCCCGUAUAUUUCUUUUGAAACCGGCCUAACCAUUUUUGAAUAGGGAAACAACCGGUAUAAAUUCUUGAAAUCUAGUUCUUAUUCCUAGUACCAUCCAGUAGGUUUUACAAACCUACGACUUUGAGGUCACAAAGUCCAACUUAAACCUUUGAUUAUCAAGCAUAUCUUUCUACUGAAUAUGAAUUGACAUGUUGGGAACUUACUUGUUCAGUUUUAGAAUUUUUGGUGAAGCCUAAAGUGGUUUUUCCGAUUUAUGUUUUGAAUCUGCCAAACUUGAACCAUUUCUGUGCACUGAACUUUAGACAUUCAUAUCUCCUAAACCAUGAACCUUCUUGGAGUAAAUCCAACUGGAGAGUGUUACAAUCUCUCCCUAGUUUCGAAUUAACCCUUGGGGUUCCCAGUGAACUUUUGUAAAGGGAGUAUGAAUUUUUAAAGAAAGCCCACUGACUUGGUUGUAAUCUGGAAAUCUGAAAUUUUUAUAUUUUUGUUUGUUAAAUACCCAUCUUUGAGAGGGCAUAUCUUGCUCGUUUGAACUGUUUUUCAUUCGAUUCAAAUUGGAGAAUGAUCCUUGAAAUGUCUAGUUUCCAGAAUGUCUUUUGGAGCCUUAUUUGGAAAUCUGAGGCAGAUUUGGUGUCUGUUGCAAAACAACCCCUUAAGUGCUCAAGUUGUUGAAUUAUUUUCUAUGUAUCAAAGUUUAUUUUAAAGGAUGUUUCAUGAAAGAUUUAGUAUAUGUGCGUAACGAGUUUGGGGCUUUGAUUUUUUUUUUAUCUCAUUUGGGAUUUUAUUUUUAAUUCAAAGUGGACUGCCUUAUUAAAUAAAUUGGGCUGCAUUUUUACUAAAAAAAUGACUUGGUUUAAAUUUACUAAUUAGACUCUGAUAAAGUUUAAUUAUUUAUUUCUUUAAAGAAUGAUUUCAUAUUAAUAUUAAUUAUUAUUAUGUGCAUAUUUUAAGUAAUUACUUAUUAUAUGCUAAGCAUGACAUGAAAUUGCAUUAUAUUUUGCAAUAAAAGUAUUUAUGAUUUAAUUGGUUUUAAUUAUAAUUCCAAUUAUUAAAGAAAAUCGAGUAAGGAUAUUGUUGGUGUCCUUAACUCAAGAAGUUUAGUUUUCAAUCUUUAUUAUUAAAUUUUGAAACCCGGCGUGAUGAAUCAUAGAAUGUUAAGCAUUUUUCCCCAAGAUAUUAAGUUAGCUUCACGAGACCUAUUAAGAAUAGAAUUUCUUGUAGGCUUUGUGAUGACCAGGAGGAUUAGCGCUACUUUUCCCAAGACAGGUUUUUAUGUGUAUGAUCUUCAGGCUUUGCCUAACCAGGUGGGCUUACUUUCCAAAUGUACAAAGUAUGAUUGAGUUAUUAAGCUCUAAAUGUUUCAAUGAAAUGCAAACUGUUUAUUUAAUGUAAUGAAAACUGUUUAUCCAAUAAAAUAUUUUGUGCACUCUGCUCUGUUUAAGGCUCGCAUAAGUUAAUCGAUCGAGGUUCUCUUAUGACCUAACACGUUGUUUGAGAAUUGUGUACACCUAUUAGCUGACUCGGUGGGUUGAUCUCCAUUCGAGCACUAAUCAUGUAUGAGGCGUUAUAAGGGUGCUCGACGGGAUGUGUUCCGGAGCAUUGGGUCCCAAAUGGGAACUUGACUGGGUUACGCCCUCAGUUCAAGUAAAGCGGGAGAUAUGGAUCCGUCGGUGGCUAAAAGGUCCGGGAUCACAGCGAGUAACAGAAAGGGAGUGUGACAUGUGCGCACAAAUGAAAAAUGUUUUAACAUGCUUAGAAGUUAUUUCAUUUUUAAAACCUUCUAAGUCAUGUCAAGUAUAAUUGGAUAAACUGCUCUUACGAAAAUAUGAAAUGUUUAUGAAAAUGCAUGCCCACUAAGUACAUUAGUACUUAGCCCAAAAAUACUUUCAAAUGUUUUCAGGUUGGCUGGCUGGUGCUGACGGGACGGAGCUGAGGCUAGAGAUAAAUUCCUAUGUUAGACUUCCGCUGUAGCAAUUACUCUUAUACAUCUUUUGUUUUCUCAACUUAAGAUGACUUCAUGUUGAGCUUAAAUUUGAAAUUCUAGUUUUAUGCUAAAUAAUGUUGGUUGUCAG
Molecule: long non-coding RNA, 2668 nt
Filed under: Salvia miltiorrhiza (redroot sage)
Lineage: Eukaryota; Viridiplantae; Streptophyta; Magnoliopsida; Lamiales; Lamiaceae
Description: long non-coding RNA (SMIL_LNC008169)
Source: RNAcentral